Molecule: ribosomal RNA, 451 nt
Filed under: uncultured bacterium
Lineage: Bacteria
Description: partial 16S ribosomal RNA
Rfam family: Bacterial small subunit ribosomal RNA
Source: RNAcentral
GCCCAGACUCCUACGGGAGGCAGCAGUGGGGAAUAUUGGGCAAUGGGCGCAAGCCUGACCCAGCAGUGCCGCGUGAAGGAAGAAGGCCUUCGGGCUGUAAACUUCUUUUAUCAGGGACGAAGGAUGUGACGGUACCUGAUGAAUAAGCUCCGGCUAACUACGUGCCAGCAGCCGCGGUAAUACGUAGGUGGCGAGCGUUGUCCGGAUUUACUGGGCGUAAAGGGAGCGUAGGCGGACUUUUAAGUGAGAUGUGAAAUACUCGGGCUCAACUUGAGUGCUGCAUUUCAAACUGGAAGUCUAGAGUGCAGGAGAGGAGAAUGGAAUUCCUAGUGUAGCGGUGAAAUGCGUAGAGAUUAGGAAGAACACCAGUGGCGAAGGCGGUCUGCUGGACAGCAACUGACGCUGAGGCGCGAAAGCGUGGGGAGCAAACAGGAUUAGAUACCCUUGUAUC